GUGCGCGUGCUGCAGCUCGUACUGACUAGUAGCGACAAACCUAACAAAUAUUACGGCAAAUGAAAUACUUUGGUGUACGGCAGAGGUGCAGAGUUUGCUGGAAAUUUUGACGGACUACAGUAUCCAGGAACAACUAGAUGCAAAACACAAGAAGUCCGAGAUAUUUGUUAAAAUACGGGGCUACCUUCUUAUAUGUGCAGCACGAUUCAAUUGUAUUCGCUUAGUUGCUUACUGGAUAAAUCUAUGAGGGCUGUGUGUCAAUGCACGCAAGACAACCCCAGAUAAAUCGCAAAAUAAGGACAAUCAUGAACUCCGAUAUUCUGUGCAGUAGUGCUGUUCUUCAACACAAAAGACAACGCAUGAAACAGAAAAGCACAACACAGAAAGUAGCACGGUGAUAACGAAAGCGUGUUCAGGCCUGAAACUUUAAGUGCAAUGUGUGCGCUGAUCUGAGAGGCAGUCAUACUAAGCCACAGUGAGUACACCCACAGAGGCGAUCCUACUGGGCCUCUUGUUUUCGUAUUGAUCCACAGAAAUUAAAAGGACCUAAUGCAGUGGCACUUUAAAAACUGUAUAAUGCAUAAUAAGGACUGAAACAAAGGCCUGAGGAUAGACCCUCUGUAUGCAGCACAGUCUCACCUCAAGUAACUGAAAAUAUGUCAGCUACUUUAUACUCGUGCAUAAGAGAAAUAUGCAGGGCUGCCAAUUCUAACGUAUGUGACGUGACACACGCUCUCUGACUCGCACUCAUGCCAGAGAUCUUUCUUUUUAUUGUUUUUUUUACUUUUUUUUAAUUAUGCAUGCAAGAGAUCUUAAGAUAAGUCUAUAUUAUUCCAUUAUGAACCUAAAAUUUGCGGCAUCAAAAGUGCUGUGGUAGUUUCAAACCAUACUGACUACAACUAAUGAAGCUACCCUGUGAGCUAAAAUGAUACUUUGUAAAGACCAACUAUCAGUUAUUUUAUGUUGCUAAAAUAAGAUUUCAAAUAUUCUUAAAAUAUCUGUUCCUGUAAACAACAGAACAAAGACAACAUCAACAAUGUUUUCCUUUUAACUGAUAAGAAAUACACAGAAAAUGCAUCAGUGGACAAACACACAUCGUAAAGAUUAUAACCUCUGACAGUAUGUACUGGCCCUCACUGUUUUCUGCAGUGUCUCUCCCUCUCAGCUCUUCAUUUCACACUUUAUUUUUGUAUCUGCAGAAAAUAGCUGUGAGUCACAUGAAUGACACAGGAAACCAAGCAAACUGACUUAAAUUUCUUAAAUAUUCCCCCUGCACUUGCAUGUUCGCCCCAUGUCGGUGUGGGGUUUCCUCUGGGUUCUCCUGUUUCACCCCACAGUCCAAAAACAUGCUGAGAAACGACAGAGACAGUGACGGUACAGAGGAUGAGGAAGUGAGUGUCAGUCUCCACAGAUCUGGGCUCAGUGACACACACACGUAUGGAUCCUCUGAUGCUCCUGUUUCUUCUCAUUGCUGGGCUCACAGGUGCUGACAGUGUGUCCACAGUUGGAUGGGUGACUGUACAGAGAGGAGGAUCUGUCACCAUCCCAUGUUUCUGUGAUGACAGAUAUAAAACUCAUGUGAAAUACUGGUGCAGAGGGUUUAAUGUAAGUUCAUGUACACCCAUAGUACACACUGACUCUCCACAGGAGGGUAAAGUGUCAGUCAGAGAUGAUCCUGACCAGCGAGUCUUCACUGUGACCAUCAACAAUCUGACAGCUGAGGACUCUGAUAGGUACUGGUGUGGUGUGAAGCAUAGUGGAGCCUCAGAUGUUGGAGAUCGGGUUAACCUGUCAGUCAUUGAUGGUCCUCCAGGGCUGUCAGUGGAGAAACAGGAGGUGACGGGUGUGGAUGGAGACAGUGUCAGUGUUCAGUGUUACUAUGGAAACAACAGAAGACAUAGGAUGUGGUGUAAGAUUGGGGGCUGCUGUGCAUCAGAGAGAUCAGUGAGUUUGGAUGGGAGGCCUGUCCUGAUCAGGGAUGACACAGUAAAUAAAGUCUUCAGUGUGACAAUGAGUGGGCUGGAGAGGAAGGACACUGGCUGGUAUUGGUGUGCUGCUGGAAUCCUGCAGAUCCCAGUUCAUAUUACUGUUAGACCUAACCCGCACGAUCACCUGCCUGCACCACCCCGAUCGUGACAGAAUGACAGACCGUAAGAAAAGGAGGAAGCAGAGGAGAAGGAAGCACCUGGAGGAGCCGAUCAGUCUGGGCGCCUGCUCCCUCGCCAACCCCUGGCCUCUCACGGAGGGCGAGAGAGAGGAGCUCGUCCUGGGCUCUGACCCAGAACCGCUCUAUCUGGGAGCCUACUCCCUAGCGAGGCUCUGGGCUCCCAGCGACGACGACGAGGAUGAGCCCUUCACGUUCCCUGUGCUGGAGCCUAUCCCCCCAGAGCAGCUACCGCCCCUGGACCGGUACAGUUACCGGCCCGAACGACUGGCAAAUUGGGGAGGUUUUAGGGCUGUAAGGGACUCGAUCCCCCGAGUGCCCCGGGUCCCGAAGAGGAUCGCACCCGUCUCCCCCUCCCAGGACUUGCCAGUUCUGCCUGCGCUGUCAGCGCAGCUCCCGCCUCUGCAACCUGCGUAGCCGGAGCAGCCAUCACCGCUGUCCGCUACGUCUGCGCAGCUUCCUCCACCUGCGGCUUGCGAGUCUGAGCAGCCGCCGCUGCCUGCGGACCCCGCUCCCGUGCAGCCGCCGCUGCCUGCGGAGACCACGCCCACGCCCGAGGCGCCCUCUCUGCCGCUCCUACAGCCUGCAGCUCCCGGGCAGGCACCCCCCCUGCAGCAACCUGCAGCUUCCGGGCAGGCGCCCCCCCUGCAGCAACCUGCAGCUUCCGGGCAGGCGCCCCUUCCACUGCCUGCCCUAGUGACUUUGCCCCCAUUCCCCUCAUUCUCUGCCUCUGUCCCUCCUUCCUUUUGUUCCUCCUGUUCCCGCUAUGUCCCCUUUCCUGCUUUGUCUUUCUGCCUUCCCUGUCCUUUGUCAGCUCCUGUCUCACGUCCUGUCUCUUGCCCUGUUUUGUGCAUCGGUCCUGUUUCCCGUCUCUCGUUGAUGGUUCUGUUUCUUUUGCUCCAGGUCCCGGUUCCCGUGUCCCGUCUGUCGCCUCCUCCCUGGCACGCCCGGUGAAGCGCGCCUUUGGAGGGGGGGUUCUGUCAUGACCUGCUCGUCGGCUCCUCAUGUGUGCCACGCCCCCUGCUUACCCACGUGUUCUUUCCCGAUCGUACCCAGCUGCCUGCCUGCACCACCCCGAUCGUGACAGAUACUUUACCCAACACCCGAGGCCUGCAGCGGGGCGUCCGGGCCUAUGCCAGAGCCCCAGAGCUGUGGUGCUAGAGAUCGACUUUUAUUUAAAUUAGAAAUAUAUUAUUUUAUACUAUUCACAAACAAGACAGAUUAAUAAAUAGAGGUAAUGUGCUUUCUGCCAGGAUGGGACUGCUGGCUGUCUGCUUCUUACAUCCAGGACCAGCGGUUAAACGAGAUAUUACAGUCACUCUGCAGUCACCCUGCAACAAUUUGUCAACCGGCGGCCAUUUGUUUCAUUGUUUGCUUCCUUCUCAUGGGCUUAUCGCUCACGACUCCAAAAGCUCUUGUGCUGACGCCCCGUUACCCACUGUCGCGGACAUUAGCUGACCGACAUGCCUAGACAUGCAAUACGCAUAAAUCCCCACCCCAAAACAGGAUGGCUGUGUUUUACCGAUAUAAAAUAGUACAUUUUGUUUAAAGCUACAAUAAAUAUAUUAUAAUAUUUUCAUAAAAUAAUUAAUCUCACCUGUUCACUAUCAGUGCCCUGGGAUAUUAACACUUUGGUCAUGACACUAAUUCAUUGUUCUCCAUCUAAUCAUUUUCUCUGUAGAAUAUCUUUCAUAAUUUAUAUUUAUGUUUCAAGAGUGACCUUUUCUUAGUCUUUAUUAACAGAAAAUUGCUUUUUAUUAACAAUCCUUUCUCCUGUUUCCACUGCUCUCCUUUUCUCUGCACAUGAUGAAGAAGGAGGGGAUAAUGAAAAACGGAGGUAAGCAUUCAGCAGCAUUUACAGUAGUGUGGGGGUCCUGCUAGCAGCAUUUACCUGAUCACACAGUGAUGGGAAACUGUCAUUUUAAUUUUAAGAAAAAAAGAUAUUGUUUUUUAUUUCAUUUUCUUAAUAAUAAACUUGAGAUCCCAUCCCAUCCAGGGUGAGCCCUUGCCUUGUGCCCUGUGCUGCUGGGGAACGACUGCAGGCCUGUUUUUACAAAAUAGUGUAACAUGUUGUGUGAUAAUCUCUAGCUAUUUUCAUGCUCUUUGUUAAUGUCUCCUGUUCCUCACAUGUGUCCUGUGUAAUAGUACAGAUGUGGCUGUACCGUGUUUCUAUAAAGCAUGUAAGACUUUACUGUUCACAUCCACCCUCUUAUUCAGCUCUUUGGUCCAGCUGGCUCUGUAUGUAGGACUGAGCUUAUUGGUGCUGCUGUUGGUCAUCAUCAUCACAUGGAAAGUGCGGGACAAACACAACCUCUGAGGAGCCUGGUGCUGAUGUCACCUACAGCUCCAUUGUCCUGCCAGAGCAGGUGUCCUCAGGAUGUUCUUCACACUGUCCUGCUGUAACCCAGCCAGCGACGUGAUCUACAGCUCAGUCACCCUGAAGCACAGAGAGGGGGCAGCAACUGAGGCACUGCUCUACAUGUGGGGAGCUGCUGCCCAGGAUGAGAGGGACACGCAGAUACUCCAGUGAUGGGGAGGGAUCAUCGCCAUGGAGGAGAAUCUUACAGUGAUGUGAGCUGUAUUUAAAUGGCAUGCAGCAAUGUCAUGUUACAGUGUGACAGUAAGAAUCAGCCAGUGAGAAACAGACAUUCGUGGCUGUUGUGCAUUUUUACCGUGAUCAAGACGCCAUUUGCUGCACUUGUACGUCGCUUUGGAGAAAAACUUUUGCUAAAUAAGAUAAAUGUAAAUGUGAGGUUUUAUUCUGGCGGUCUGCGAAAUGUCACUUUUAUAUUAAUGGAGAAAAUAUCA
RNA transcript from Brienomyrus brachyistius, 4972 nucleotides. RefSeq lists it as uncharacterized. The transcript is spliced from 8 exons. The record is from RefSeq and is a predicted model, not a curated record. NCBI's taxonomy places the organism in Eukaryota, Metazoa, Chordata, Actinopteri, Osteoglossiformes, Mormyridae.